GAUGAACGCUGGCGGCGUGCUUAACACAUGCAAGUCGAACGGAAAGGCCCUGAUAGUUUGCGGUGCUCGAGUGGCCAUCGGGUGAGUAUGACGUGAGUAACCGGCCCUUGACUUUGGGAUAACUUCAGGUAACUGGGGCUAAUACCGGAUAGGAGCUCCUGCUGCAUGGUGGGGGUUGGAAAGUUUAGGCGGUUGGGGAUGGACUCGCGGCUUAUGAGCUUGUUGGUUGGGUAGUGGCUUACCAAGGCAUUGACGGGUAGCCGGCCCGAGAGGGGGACCGGCCACAUUAGGACUGAGAUACGGCCCAGACUCGUACGGGAGGCAACGGUGGGGAAUAUUAUACAGUGGGAGGAAGCCUGAUGCAGCGACGCCGCGGGCGGGAUGACGGCCUGCGGGUUGUAAACCGCAGUCGCCUGAGACGAAGCGUGAGUGACGGUACUGGGUAAAGAAGCACCGGCUAACUACGUG
This 468-nucleotide ribosomal RNA is filed under the name uncultured bacterium. RNAcentral describes it as "partial 16S ribosomal RNA". It matches the Rfam family "Bacterial small subunit ribosomal RNA", at positions 28 to 507 of the family's 1533-position model. The record is from RNAcentral.